Molecule: transfer RNA, 52 nt
Filed under: Lygodactylus tolampyae
Lineage: Eukaryota; Metazoa; Chordata; Lepidosauria; Squamata; Gekkonidae
Description: tRNA-Cys
Source: RNAcentral
GGGAAAAAAGCAAAGUGCAAAUUUGCAGAGGCAACGAAAAGGUGCCCCGGCU